Vigna unguiculata (cowpea) is the source of this 3077-nucleotide long non-coding RNA. The record is from RefSeq and is a predicted model, not a curated record. Lineage: Eukaryota; Viridiplantae; Streptophyta; Magnoliopsida; Fabales; Fabaceae.
UUUAACCAAAUUUUUUCCAUCUCCUCCGGUGGCUACAAGUACAAUGAUCAACUUUGAGUCCUAUGUCUGGGAGAUCAACUUUGAGGAUCCGAAGCUCGGUGACCUCCUCGCCACAUGAUUCGUGUACUCGGCCAGCGUAGUGGAGUCGAUCCUCGACUCGUCGCGCGAGGACAGUUACGAAAAACAUGCCUUCGUCGAGCUAGGGUUUGAUUGGAACGAGACCUUUGACUUCAAAGUCGCGUUCACCGAUCACGAGAAGUAUGUCUACCAUGAGCAUGUGAAGGAAUUUGGUGACUCUGCCAUCGCUGAAGAAUAUGAAAUCGACAUUCAUCUUACCGCCAACGCUUUCAUCAAACGGCAAUGACGACGUCGAUUGUUCUUCCGCCGCCUUUACCUCCUUCAUCGACAACGAAAUCAGUCUUGGCAACGCGUGGAGCAAAUUCUACUCGACGACAAGCAUCCCAAACCCAACAACGGUGCUCCUACCUUCGGCUUCGAUUCUUAUGGUAGUUGAACAAUUUUGACAAGCUUUGGAGAUUUCACCACAGUGUGUGCCUGCACAAUAUGGACUUGCUUUGGGGCUGCUUGGUUUGGCAAAAAGACUGCAUCAAUCUAGGAGCAUAUAGAUGGGGGGCUUCACUGUUACAGGUUUUUCUCUUCAAUAUUUUGUCUUUAAUAAUUAUUAUGUUGUUUUUUAUUAAGUUUUCAAUGCUUUUGUUGCUUUUAUAAAUUCUUUUAGAAGGCUUCUGAUGCAAAUAUGUUACAAGCUUCUCAAGAGGUUCAAGAUUUAGAUGUAGACAACCUUUUGUUUAUUUCUCAAAUUCUGUGUGGAGACUAAGUGUAGUUAUCAAACAUUGUUAUUGCUUAUGCAUUAAUGGCACAUUAAAUAGUAAUUAGAGGAAGAGUUUGUGUAACAAGAGGAACAAGCUUUAUUGGUUCAUGGAUUAUCAAGAACCUCCUUCAAGAUGGUUACUUUGUUAACACCACUGAGAAAUAACUCAGGUAGUAAAAGCAACCCCAUUUGUGUUACAUAAACAUUUUCAGAAUGAAAAAAAAAACUUUUGAAUCCACUUUUUAAUAUUGGUUGAAAUUCCAUUGAAAAAAAAAUUCUAAUGGAUGAUUAUAUGUUACUUCUUACUUGUUAUGAUCCACCAUAAUGAUACUUAAAAUUCUAUUGGAGCGCAUUACACUGUGUGCUUAGUGCUGAGAUUUUUUCUUGUCAUAGUGCAGUAAAUUACUUCACUUUUUAGUUAGUGAAUAGUAGACCACCUCCGUCAAUUGUGACCUUGGUAGCUUUGGUGAAUUGAAAUGAUGCUCAGGGAAAUCUGAGGUUUCAUUGAAUAGGAGCACAGUAAAAUCUAUGUGUGGAAAUGGUCCUGUUUGCAGGGACUCAAUCCUUUGAUGUUCAUGUUUGUUGUACUUGGGAAUACCACUUAUGUAGCCAUGUAUUAACACUGGUAAUACUCCUGCUAAGCUAUUUGUUGUGGAUGAGUUACUUCUUGUGAUAGUAUACAUGAUGGAUAUUAAAUUGGCAGAAAAUUUGCUCUCUACAGUAUAUCAAUGACCUUUUUGUUACUAGCAAGAAGAUAACUAAGUAUUUAAAUUUGACAAUGUGAUUAGUCUAAACCUUCUCUGUUAUGCUUCCUCUGUCUGCCACAAAAAGCAAGCAAAUUAAUAUCAAAAAGAUCAUCACAAAUGGACAACUCUUCCUUAUAAAGCAACUUUUAAUUUUAAGUGAGCAGGUAAUUCUGUCAGUCUUCUUAGUGAAGUUUUAUAGGCUUCAUUAGAUAGGAAUGAUGACCAUAAAAGAUGUCCUAAACAUAGUAUGCUGCUUCACUUUGUUUUAGUCAUUCACAAUCCUAAGAGAAAAAGUUCCUUUAAAUCUAGUUUUUAAUAUUUUUCUUGUGCACAGAACAAUUGGUUGAAUCUGUUUUGAGCAAGGUUUUAGAGGAGUUUGACAAAGCAAAGUAACAAGGAGAUUCUUGGACUCAAAUCCAAUGGUGUUUUAGUUGAGGGUCUUCAUUUCAAACCUGCUUUUGCUUCUUCUUUUGUUUUUAUUUUGAGAUUCUGCGAAUUGAUAUAGUAAUUUUCUUAUUAGUUCCAAGGGAUUGUGACACGUACUGACAUUUAAUUAAGUGUUUUUUACUGUGUUAUGUUAGUUUCUGUGAGUUAUUAAUGUUUAUGUUAUGUUAGGCCUAUUUUUGACUUUUAAGUUUUAUUAUUUUGUGUGCAUUUAAUAUUUUGUUUUGCCACCUGGGACAAAUUUAAAAUAUCUUGCAGCAUCACCCACCUAACAAGCAUUGCAGAAUGAUAAUGGGUUUACAGUGCAGAAAUUUAUGAUGUGCCAGAGAGAUAAAGCACUGAUAUGACCUUCCCAGGCGUGGAGUCAAAGAGCAUUUUCUUUUUUUUUCUUUGUGGUGGCUGACGACUACGGACACUAGAUCACUUGGUAAAGUUGAUAACACCUAAUGAAAAAAUAAUUGUUGAAAUUUAUGAAAAUUAGUUCUUUAGAAUAUUUUUUCACAUUUUUAAUUACUGCCUUUGUCAUUUGAUCGCUUAUCAUUGAUGAAUAUAACAGGGAAGAAUAAGGAACUCUAUAAAUAAUAUAUAUAUAUAUAUAUAUAUAUAUAUAUGUACAGCAUAUUAUUCUUUGGUCCUGAAGCUGAAGUUGUCUUGAUAGGUUACUGAUAGAGGGUUACUAGUGAUUAAAGGGUUCACUCAAAACAUGUUACUGCAGUUAGCCACACAAUUGAUGAAUACACUCUUGUUUCAGCAAUUCGACCAAAAGGGGCAUUAUUCACCUUGUUGGUUCCUGCCACAGGAUCAAUCUACUGGUCUGAAAGAUAUCCUGAGGAGAGAUUGGCACCCCAUUACAAUGCCGAACUAUAGGUUUCUGAUCAAGGAAGUGUGCCAACUAAUACAUGGACAUGAGGAAAAUCAUAUGUGAUAGUUGACGAAUAUAAUAUAAUGUGAAAGUUAAUUGAAUCAUUUUAUGUUUUGAGAACCAUUACAGUACUUCAUGAUAGUUUUGCUGACUAAUAUGGUACUUGAAUUUGAAUUUGAAUUCGUAUAUUUGU